UACGUAGGGGGCUAGCGUUGUCCGGAUUUAUUGGGCGUAAAGAGCGUGUAGGCGGCCAGGUAGGUCCGUUGUGAAAACUCGAGGCUCAACCUCGAGACGUCGGCGGAAACCCUCUGGCUAGAGUCCGGAAGAGGAGAGUGGAAUUCCUGGUGUAGCGGUGAAAUGCGCAGAUAUCAGGAGGAACACCGGUGGCGAAGGCGGCUCACUGGUCCGGUACUGACGCUGAUGUGCGAAAGCGUGGGGAGCAAACAGG
This 253-nucleotide ribosomal RNA is filed under the name uncultured bacterium. RNAcentral describes it as "partial 16S ribosomal RNA". It matches the Rfam family "Bacterial small subunit ribosomal RNA", at positions 524 to 776 of the family's 1533-position model. The record is from RNAcentral.